AGUGGACGCUGGCGGUAGGCCUAACACAUGCAAGUCGAACGGCAGCACAGUAAGAGCUUGCUCUUACGGGUGGCGAGUGGCGGACGGGUGAGGAAUACAUCGGAAUCUACUUUUUCGUGGGGGAUAACGUAGGGAAACUUACGCUAAUACCGCAUACGACCUACGGGUGAAAGCAGGGGAUCUUCGGACCUUGCGCGAUUGAAUGAGCCGAUGUCGGAUUAGCUAGUUGGCGGGGUAAAGGCCCACCAAGGCGACGAUCCGUAGCUGGUCUGAGAGGAUGAUCAGCCACACUGGAACUGAGACACGGUCCAGACUCCUACGGGAGGCAGCAGUGGGGAAUAUUGGACAAUGGGCGCAAGCCUGAUCCAGCCAUACCGCGUGGGUGAAGAAGGCCUUCGGGUUGUAAAGCCCUUUUGUUGGGAAAGAAAAGCAGCAGGUUAAUACCCCGCUGUUCUGACGGUACCCAAAGAAUAAGCACCGGCUAACUUCAUG
RNAcentral lists this ribosomal RNA (492 nucleotides) under uncultured bacterium. RNAcentral's name for it is "partial 16S ribosomal RNA". It matches the Rfam family "Bacterial small subunit ribosomal RNA", at positions 29 to 507 of the family's 1533-position model. The record is from RNAcentral.